GGGGGCGUGGUGUAGCUGGCCUAACACGCGGCCCUGUCAAGGCCGAGACCGCGGGUUCGAAUCCCGUCGCUCCCGCCA
RNAcentral lists this transfer RNA (78 nucleotides) under Chloroflexi bacterium RBG_16_64_43. Its description in RNAcentral is "tRNA-Asp". It matches the Rfam family "tRNA". Rfam says of the family: Transfer RNA (tRNA) molecules are approximately 80 nucleotides in length. Their secondary structure includes four short double-helical elements and three loops (D, anti-codon, and T loops). The record is from RNAcentral. Lineage: Bacteria; Bacillati; Chloroflexota. RNAcentral also lists the same sequence under 2 other names.